RNAcentral lists this ribosomal RNA (433 nucleotides) under uncultured bacterium. RNAcentral's name for it is "partial 16S ribosomal RNA". It matches the Rfam family "Bacterial small subunit ribosomal RNA", at positions 29 to 507 of the family's 1533-position model. The record is from RNAcentral.
AGCGAACGCUGGCGGCAGGCCUAACACAUGCAAGUCGAGCGAACUCUUCGGAGUUAGUGGCGGACGGGUGAGUAACACGUGGGAACGUGCCUUUUGGUUCGGAAUAACUCAGGGAAACUUGUGCUAAUACCGAAUGUGCCCUUCGGGGGAAGGAUUUAUCGCCAUUAGAGCGGCCCGCGUCUGAUUAGCUAGUUGGUGAGGUAACGGCUCACCAAGGCGACGAUCAGUAGCUGGUCUGAGAGGAUGACCAGCCACACUGGGACUGAGACACGGCCCAGACUCCUACGGGAGGCAGCAGUGGGGAAUCUUGCGCAAUGGGCGAAAGCCUGACGCAGCCAUGCCGCGUGAAUGAUGAAGGUCUUAGGAUUGUAAAAUUCUUUCACCGGGGACGAUAAUGACGGUACCCGGAGAAGAAGCCCCGGCUAACUUCGUG